Molecule: ribosomal RNA, 468 nt
Filed under: uncultured bacterium
Lineage: Bacteria
Description: partial 16S ribosomal RNA
Rfam family: Bacterial small subunit ribosomal RNA
Source: RNAcentral
GACGAACGCUGGCGGCGUGCUUAACACAUGCAAGUCGAACGGAAAGGCCCUGCUUUUGUGGGGUGCUCGAGUGGCGAACGGGUGAGUAACACGUGAGUAACCUGCUCUUGACUUUGGGAUAACUUCAGGAAACUGGGGCUAAUCCCGGAUAGGAGCUCCUGCUGCAUGGAGGGGGUUGGAAAGUCUCGGCGGUUGGGGAUGGACUCGCGGCUUAUCAGCUUGUUGGUGGGGUAGUGGCUUACCAAGGCUUUGACGGGUAGCCGGCAUGGGAGGGUGACCGGCGACAUUGGGACUGAGAGACGGCCCAGACUCCUACGGGAGGCAGCAGUGGGGAAUAUUGCACAAUGGGCGGAAGCCUGAUGCAGCAACGCCGCGUGCGGGAUGACGGCCUUCGGGUUGUAAACCGCUUUCGCCUGUGACGAAGCGUGAGUGACGGUAAUGGGUAAAGAAGCACCGGCUAACUACGUG